UAAUACAUGCAAGUCGAGCGAACAGACGAGGAGCCUGCUCCUCUGACGUUAGCGGCGGACGGGUGAGUAACACGUGGAUAACCUACCUAUAAGACUGGGAUAACUUCGGGAAACCGGAGCUAAUACCGGAUAAUAUAUUGAACCGCAUGGUUCAAUAGUGAAAGACGGUUUUGCUGUCACUUAUAGAUGGAUCCGCGCCGCAUUAGCUAGUUGGUAAGGUAACGGCUUACCAAGGCAACGAUGCGUAGCCGACCUGAGAGGGUGAUCGGCCACACUGGAACUGAGACACGGUCCAGACUCCUACGGGAGGCAGCAGUAGGGAAUCUUCCGCAAUGGGCGAAAGCCUGAUGGAGCAACGCCGCGUGAGUGAUGAAGGUCUUCGGAUCGUAAAACUCUGUUAUUAGGGAGGAACAAAUGCGUAAGUAACUAUGCACGUCUUGACGGUACCUAAUCAGAAAGCCACGGCUAACUACGUGCCAGCAGCCGCGGUAAUACGUAGGUGGCAAGCGUUAUCCGGAAUUAUUGGGCGUAAAGCGCGCGUAGGCGGUUUUUUAAGUCUGAUGUGAAAGCCCACGGCUCAACCGUGGAGGGUCAUUGGAAACUGGAAAACUUGAGUGCAGAAGAGGAAAGUGGAAUUCCAUGUGUAGCGGUGAAAUGCGCAGAGAUAUGGAGGAACACCAGUGGCGAAGGCGACUUUCUGGUCUGUAACUGACGCUGAUGUGCGAAAGCGUGGGGAUCAAACAGGAUUA
This 749-nucleotide ribosomal RNA is filed under the name uncultured Staphylococcus sp. RNAcentral describes it as "bacterial SSU rRNA". It matches the Rfam family "Bacterial small subunit ribosomal RNA", at positions 49 to 780 of the family's 1533-position model. Lineage: Bacteria; Bacillati; Bacillota; Bacilli; Caryophanales; Staphylococcaceae. The record is from RNAcentral.